Molecule: long non-coding RNA, 3003 nt
Filed under: Sus scrofa (pig)
Lineage: Eukaryota; Metazoa; Chordata; Mammalia; Artiodactyla; Suidae
Source: RNAcentral
CGGGCAGCACUGACACUCUGGAGAAGGUCUGCCUCUGUGUGCGCUGCCCCGGUUGCAUGCGAGCAGAUGAAUUCCACAGCUGGAACUGAGGCACAGAGCAAUAAACACAGUGGAGCCCAUCUCUGCCGUGGUGAGAGGGGGCAUCAGAAGUGACAACAAUGACAAGGACCCAAGGACCGUCCUUCUGACAAGUUUCAGCACUGAGUGUCUCCAGGAAAAAGGGGUUCCAUAAGAAGUGGCAUCCUCCUCCAGUUGAAAGAUUCUUGGGCUGAUGGAGUAAGUGAGUGACGGAGUGGGUUGCCAACUGUAGUUACUCCACUCAAUGCGGAAUGGCUGCAGGGAAUAUAUUCUGAUGUGCCCAAAGAAGUCUGCCCAGGGUGAAACAAAUACCUUUGAGGUUUAAAUCAGGUGUGUGAAGAAUGCUAGGGAGUCUCAUACUAAGUGAACUCAGUCAGAAAGAGAAAGACAAAUACCAUAUGAUAUCACUUAUAUGUGGAAUCUAAAAUGUGACACAAAUCAUCUUACCUGCAAAAGAGAAACUCACAGACAUAGACACACUUGUGGUUGCCAGUGGGGAGGCAGGCUGGGGAGAGAUGGAUUGGCAGUUUAUGAUUAGCAGAUGCAAACUAUUACAUAUAGGUUGGAUAAAUGAAGUCCUACCGUAUAGCACAGGGAGCUAUAGUCAUAAAUCAUAAUGGAAAAGAAUAUGAAAAAGAAUGUAUAUAUGAAUAAGUGAAUCACUUUGCUGUACAGCAGAAAUUAACGUUGUAAAUCAACCAUAUACUUCAAGAAAACUUUUAAACUGUAAAAAAUAAUGACAGUCACAAAACAAAAAGAAGGCUGGAAAUAUGACUUCUUGGGUUUUAGAUUUUGUUUUUUGUUUUUGUGUUUAUAUGUCUCAAGCAAAAUGGUGGCUCUUGACUGUUCUCCCAACUCUUGUAAUGUGGUAAAAUACAACCAAAAGUUUAACCCGCCCUCUCUCCUAGGAUUGGAUAUGCUAGACUCCACUGCCUGGAAAGGUCCUCUACUUUAUCAAAACUUUUGAUUUUAAAGGCAUGUUUGUGGCUUUUCAUAUUUAAAAAGCAUUUUGAUUCUGGAUAAAUUUUUAAACUGGGAAUUUAAGUUUGAUAGGCUUUAUUUUACCAUUUGUCUAUUUUCUUAGAAAAAAAUAACUACUAUUUAUAAUAUAGGAGUUAGCUACAAAAUUUUUAAUAAAAGUAUGUUCAAACUGUCUUUUAAAAUAUAUGUUCACAUUAUCCUUAAAAAGCUAAGUGGCUCAGAAAAAUCAAUCAAAGGUGACGUCUUUUUUUUUUUUUUUUUAGAAAACAUAAACACAUUUCCCUUAUAGGAAGAAGUUGUAUUUAAAAGCCUCUGUUUAAUUUAUUCAGAAACUACACGAUUUUUGUUGCUAUAUUUUGUUAUAAAGGAAGAGAGGCUGUUUCUACAGGUGUCAUAGAAAAGUCGAUGCUGAGCCAUGGAUUAUUGGAUCUCAUAGAACCACGGAGACUUGGCAGUAAAAUCCUUCCAAAGGCAGACGGUGUUCCUAGGUUUGGAAAUGUACCUCCCAGGGGAAGUGAGCUGAGGAACAUUUUAUGCAUCAUUCAUCCGGUUAUGAGCCCUUGCUGCUCCAUCUCUGCACAAGAUGUUGAAACAACAGCAACAACAAAAAUUGUUUAUAAUGUGUAUUCUAACUUUGGAUCAUCUGGUUAACGCCCUGAUGCUAUUACCCAGAAAGACAAUGCUCUGUCAGAAAAAACCAUUAAAGCUCGCUGCUGCGUGAUUAGUAAAAUAAUAGGGAAAGUUCAGCAUUCUGGAUGUCCCAUCUAAUGAGGUAAGAUUUUAUCAUGUCCCUUAAAUUGAGAUUACAUUUCAUUUUAUUUGUUAUUAUCCCAGCCUAAAGAAAGUUUUGCGUUUCAAUUUGACACGAAUCCAUGAUAUAAAGCUUUGUAUUCAUUGUCUCAUCUGUGACCAGUUUGAGGCAUUUAAAGCCAGGCUAUUUAAUGUAUUUUAUUUAUGAAUAAACUACAUUCUUUUCAAUGUUUUUCCAUCUUUUCCAGCUUAGACAAUUGUAACUCAGUAUGUCAUGCGUAUUUAAAUAAAAAUAAAUUAUGUACAUCAUUAUAAUCCUUAUGGGCGGGAAGGACGUACAUUGUCUAACCUUUGAUGAAGUUUAACUUUGGACAUGUUAGUUCUUAAAUUUUGAACAAACCAAAGUCAGUGGGAUACUUUGAAGUAUUCUAAAGUUAAAAUGGAAAUUAAGAUUUCAUGGUAAGUGGCAGUCUCAUGUUUACUGUUAAAAUAGUAUAACAUCUGCGUGGGAAGAAAAAAUGUACAACAGACAGUGGCGAGGUGAUGGAGGAGCCAGACAUAUGGAAAGUUCCAGGUGCCUGUAGACACAGCCUGAGAAUUCUCAAAUACUCAACCUUCUUUAUUUGGUACAUAUACUGUCAUCCACCAAAGUCCUCCUAUUUUGCAGACCAAAAAUAUUAAUGUUUCCAACAUCACUACCCCUUAUAUUUAUACCAAAAUCUCCCACAAUGUGUGAAAUACAGUUUAUUCAAGCCUAAGCACCAUGAUAGUAGCCAUCGUCUCUUUGUGUUAACUAUAUCAUAUGACCUUUCCUAAAAUAUUACAAAGAGGAAUUUCUACUAGAUAAUUUGUGGUUUGUAAAACCAUGAAUUUUUGAAGGGAAAGAAAUGGCAGUUAAUUGAAGCAUCAUUGUCUUCAGUGUGAAAACAGUCUGGGAUGCCAGCCUUGGCGGGCAGUGUCUUUGACUCAGUUUCAUUUUCUUUGCUUGCUUUGUUGUCACCCUCGGGCUUCUUUCUGGUUCCAUCUCUUUUUUGUCUCCCUUUGACUCCCCUAUUGUAUUCCAGUUGGCAGUUACAGAACAGAAACAGAGCAAUAAGACCGCAUGGUUACAUUUUCCCAGUGCCACCAACUGGGAGUUAAGCUGACUAACAUUUCGAAAGCCCAGCCCAUUUCAUUCACAGCAGGCAUGGCAGG